RNAcentral lists this ribosomal RNA (253 nucleotides) under uncultured bacterium. RNAcentral describes it as "partial 16S ribosomal RNA". It matches the Rfam family "Bacterial small subunit ribosomal RNA", at positions 524 to 776 of the family's 1533-position model. The record is from RNAcentral.
UACGAAGGGGGCUAGCGUUGUUCGGAUUUACUGGGCGUAAAGCGCACGUAGGCGGUCUGUUAUGUCGGAUGUGAAAGCCCUUGGCUCAACUGAGGAAGUGCAUCCGAAACUGGCAGGCUAGAGUACUAAAGAGGAUCGCGGAAUUCCCGGUGUAGAGGUGAAAUUCGUAGAUAUCGGGAGGAACACCGGUGGCGAAGGCGGCGAUCUGGGUAGAUACUGACGCUGAGGUGCGAAAGCGUGGGGAGCAAACAGG